GACGAACGCUGGCGGCGUGCUUAACACAUGCAAGUCGAACGAUGAAGCCAGCUUGCUGGUGGAUUAGUGGCGAACGGGUGAGUAACACGUGGGUGAUCUGCCCCAAACUUUGGGAUAAGCCUGGGAAACUGGGUCUAAUACCGAAUAUGACCGAUACUCGCAUGGGUGUUGGUGGAAAGCUCUGGCGGUUUGGGAUGGGCCCGCGGCCUAUCAGCUUGUUGGUGGGGUAAUGGCCUACCAAGGCGACGACGGGUAGCCGGCCUGAGAGGGCGACCGGCCACACUGGGACUGAGACACGGCCCAGACUCCUAUGGGAGGCAGCAGUGGGGAAUAUUGCACAAUGGGCGCAAGCCUGAUGCAGCGACGCCGCGUGAGGGAUGACGGCCUUCGGGUUGUAAACCUCUUUCACCGGGGACGAAGCGAAAGUGACGGUACCUGGAGAAGAAGCACCGGCCAACUACGUG
This 464-nucleotide ribosomal RNA is filed under the name uncultured bacterium. RNAcentral's name for it is "partial 16S ribosomal RNA". It matches the Rfam family "Bacterial small subunit ribosomal RNA", at positions 28 to 507 of the family's 1533-position model. The record is from RNAcentral.